UACGGGGGGGGCAAGCGUUGUCCGGAAUCACUGGGCGUAAAGGGCGCGUAGGUGGUCUUGUAAGUCUGUGGUGAAAGCCCGGGGCUCAACCCCGGGUCUGCCAUGGAUACUGCGAGACUUGAGUGCUGUAGAGGCAGGUAGAAUAUCGGGUGUAGCGGUGGAAUGCGUAGAGAUCCGAUAGAAGACCGGUGGCGAAGGCGGCCUGCUGGGCAGUAACUGACACUGAGGCGCGACAGCGUGGGGAGCAAACAGG
RNAcentral lists this ribosomal RNA (253 nucleotides) under uncultured bacterium. RNAcentral describes it as "partial 16S ribosomal RNA". It matches the Rfam family "Bacterial small subunit ribosomal RNA", at positions 524 to 776 of the family's 1533-position model. The record is from RNAcentral.